AACUUGAUCUGUCAUAUGAAAUUGCAGAUUCUAGUGGUGGUAGUGGUGAGACGCCUUUCAAAGGUGUUCAUUUUUGCAACUUCAGUAUUGGACAUUGAAGAGGAUCCAGGACGAGAAGACAGGCAGAGUAGUUGACAAUUUGCAAGGCCAUUUGUGAGCCUGUCUUGGACACGUGGGAAGCCAAAAAGAGGCUGCAUGAUGAUCGUUGUGUGUUCCAGCCAUGCCAAUAUUUUGUUGAUCCUUGAUAACUGUGGAUCAAUAGCCGUGAGCAAUCAGCUAUAAUUCUUUGAGUUGAGGCUUGUAAUAUUAGGGCCGUGAUAAUCGGUUUGUGAACAUGCUUGCGGUGGCUGGGAUUUGAGACUCUGAUUUGCUCCAUGUUGUUUUGUCUACUACUAACCAGUUAGUUGAGAAAUUGAGACUCAAAUUUGCUCCAGGUUUACUCAUGUAUUGACAAGUAUGCAUUUGGCUCCUAGUAGCUAGCUGCUCUAGGUUUACUCGUGUAUCUAUGUUGUGAACCAGACCUAGACAAUGAAUAAAAUUAGAUACAUUUGGCUAAA
This is a long non-coding RNA of Lolium rigidum, 557 nucleotides long. RefSeq lists it as uncharacterized. The transcript is spliced from 2 exons. NCBI's taxonomy places the organism in Eukaryota, Viridiplantae, Streptophyta, Magnoliopsida, Poales, Poaceae. The record is from RefSeq and is a predicted model, not a curated record.